AGUCGUACGGGAGUUUUUAACUCUAGUGGCGGACGGGUGAGUAACACGUAAGAAUUUGCCUUUAGGAGGGGGACAACAGCUGGAAACGGCUGCUAAUACCCCAUAUGCUUUCGAGUGAAAUGGAUUUCCGCCUAAAGAGAAGCUUGCGGCUGAUUAGCUUGUUGGUGAGGUAAUGGCUCACCAAGGCGACGAUCAGUAUCUGGUUUGAGAGGACGAUCAGACACACUGGAACUGAGACACGGUCCAGACUCCUACGGGAGGCAGCAGUGGGGAACUUUCCGCAAUGGGCGCAAGCCUGACGGAGCAAUACCGCGUGAGGGAUGAAGGCCUAUGGGUUGUAAACCUCUUUUUUCAGGGAGGAACAAAAUGACGUGUACCUGAAGAAUAAGCAUCGGCUAACUCCGUGCCAGCAGCCGCGGUAAGACGGGGGAUGCAAGUGUUAUCCGGAAUCACUGGGCGUAAAGCGUCUGUAGGUGGUUACAUAAGUCAACUGUUAAAUCUUGAGGCUUAACCUCAAAAUCGCAGUCGAAACUGUUUGACUAGAGUAUAGUAGGGGUAAAGGGAAUUUCCAGUGGAGCGGUGAAAUGCGUAGAUAUUGGAAAGAACACCGAUGGCGAAGGCACUUUACUGGGCUAUUACUAACACUGAGAGACGAAAGCUAGGGUAGCAAAUGGGAUUAGAUACCCCAGUAGUCCUAGCCGUAAACAAUGGA
Molecule: ribosomal RNA, 712 nt
Filed under: uncultured bacterium
Lineage: Bacteria
Description: bacterial SSU rRNA
Rfam family: Bacterial small subunit ribosomal RNA
Source: RNAcentral